This 492-nucleotide ribosomal RNA is filed under the name uncultured bacterium. RNAcentral's name for it is "bacterial SSU rRNA". It matches the Rfam family "Bacterial small subunit ribosomal RNA", at positions 903 to 1397 of the family's 1533-position model. The record is from RNAcentral.
AAAGGAAUAGACGGGGGCCCGCACAAGCAGUGGAGUAUGUUGUUUAAUUCGACGCAACGCGAAGAACCUUACCAGGGCUUGACAUCCUCUGACGGCUGUAGAGAUACAGCGUCCCUUCGGGGCAGAGAGACAGGUGGUGCAUGGUUGUCGUCAGCUCGUGUCGUGAGAUGUUAGGUUAAGUCCUGCAACGAGCGCAACCCCUAUGGUCUGUUGCCAGCAAGUUAAGUUGGGCACUCAGGCCAGACCGCCGUUGACAAAACGGAGGAAGGUGGGGACGACGUCAAAUCAUCAUGCCCCUUAUGUCCUGGGCUACAAACGUACUACAAUGGUCGCGACAGAGGGCAGCCACACCGCGAGGUGGAGCGAAUCCCAAAACGCGGUCCCAGUUCGGAUUGCAGGCUGCAACUCGCCUGCAUGAAGUCGGAAUUGCUAGUAAUGGCAGGUCAGCAUACUGCCGUGAAUACGUUCCCGGGCCUUGUACACACCGCCCGU